AUGACCGUUUGCCACCUUCUUCUCAGACGACCAUGGCAAUUUGAUAGAGGUGUCAUCCACAACGGCCGAACGAACCACUACAUCUUCAAGAUGAAAGGAAAGGAGUACGUACUUCGCCCUAUGUCUCCAAGCCAAAUGAUCGCCGACAAGCAAGCCACCCAUCGUGGAGAGAAUAGUGAGAUAGCGAACCACCAAAAAGAGAGUGAGCGCCACAAGCCCAAAUUGAGUGACUCCACAAUGAGCGAAAAGAUGAACCUAGUUCUAUUUGCCAUCAAACGUGAGAUAAGAGAAGUGUGUGAGAACCCAUCUAGUGUGAUACACUAUAUCCUUUUGUACAAGGACGAGGCACCAAAAGCUAACACCUCUCACACUCUACCUUUAGUGUUGUCUUCUCUUUUGCAGAAUUCCAAGAUGUUUUCCCCGACGAGCUAUCUCUGGGUCUACCUCCACUACGAGGCAUCAAGCACCGCAUCGACCUCAUCCCCGGAGCACCACUUCCAAACAAAGCUCCCUACCGCAUCAACCCCAAAGAAACCAAAGAAAUACAAAGGCAAGUCAAACAUCUCAUAG
This 570-nucleotide ribosomal RNA is filed under the name Triticum aestivum (bread wheat). RNAcentral's name for it is "partial small subunit ribosomal RNA". The record is from RNAcentral. Lineage: Eukaryota; Viridiplantae; Streptophyta; Magnoliopsida; Poales; Poaceae.